RNAcentral lists this unclassified non-coding RNA (330 nucleotides) under Hevea brasiliensis (rubber tree). The record is from RNAcentral. Lineage: Eukaryota; Viridiplantae; Streptophyta; Magnoliopsida; Malpighiales; Euphorbiaceae.
UAAGUCUGUUUAGGAGAGGACCUAUUUGCAAUUAUUUUUCUAACUAUAAUACUUUAGUAGUGGUGGAAGUAAGAUGUUUUGGCAGGGAGAACCUAGGUUUUGCAUGAGAACAUCCUGUAACUAUACUUUUAAAUGAUGUAUAAGUAUAUUACUAGAAAAACGUUCUACUGCCACUUAUAAUGUUAACAUUUUCCAGAGCCUCAUUUUUACUAUGACAAUGACUUCAAUCAAGACUACCAAGACUCGUAAUUGAUUUGAGACCUUUGUUUGUGCAUGUAGGGUGAUGAGUGCAGCACCAUACAACAUGGGCAAGAAAUCUCCUGAAUCUGC